CCCCCGCCGCCAAAAUGAGCGCUCGGCUCAACAUCCAAGGUCUCCAGAUCAAUAGCCAGUCAAAGGACGGAUGGCGGUUCACCCCUGCCCUCAGCCUCGGGUCACCUUUAGCGGAUUAUAACGCGAAUGGAAGCACCGAGAUUUCGCAUCAGGGUAACGUUGUUGAUAUUGCUGAACCUCGUUCCGGCCGGGCUAGAUUCCGCUGCCGGGGGUGAAACAGAAGACGUCCGCGCUAUACGCGCGCUCCGGUCUGGGCGCGCAGAGGU
RNAcentral lists this unclassified non-coding RNA (266 nucleotides) under Hevea brasiliensis (rubber tree). Lineage: Eukaryota; Viridiplantae; Streptophyta; Magnoliopsida; Malpighiales; Euphorbiaceae. The record is from RNAcentral.